This 601-nucleotide ribosomal RNA is filed under the name Phaeoclavulina abietina. RNAcentral's name for it is "partial 25S large subunit ribosomal RNA". It matches the Rfam family "Eukaryotic large subunit ribosomal RNA", at positions 65 to 646 of the family's 3401-position model. Lineage: Eukaryota; Fungi; Basidiomycota; Agaricomycetes; Gomphales; Gomphaceae. The record is from RNAcentral.
CUAACAAGGAUUCCCCUAGUAACGGCGAGUGAAGCGGGAAGAGCUCAAAUUUGUAAUCUGGCGGUCUAAGGCCGUCCGAGUUGUAGUCUGGAGAAGCGUUUUCCGCGUCGGACCGUGUAUAAGUCUCUUGGAACAGGGCGUCAUAGAGGGUGAGAAUCCCGUCUUUGACACGGACUACCGAUGCUUUGUGAUGCGCUCUCGAAGAGUCGAGUUGUUUGGGAAUGCAGCUCAAAACGGGUGGUAAAUUCCAUCUAAAGCUAAAUAUUGGCGAAAGACCGAUAGCGAACAAGUACCGUGAGGGAAAGAUGAAAAGCACUUUGGAAAGAGAGUUAAACAGUACGUGAAAUUGUUGAAAGGGAAACGUUUGAAGUCAGUCGCGUCUCUCAGAGACUCAGCCUCGCUUCUGCUUGGUGCACUUCUCGAGAUGACGGGCCAGCAUCAAUUUCGAUCGAUAGAGAAAGGCGGGGGGAAUGUGGCACCUUCGGGUGUGUUAUAGCCCUUUGUCGUAUGUAUCGGUCGGGAUUGAGGAUCGCAGCACGCCUUCAUGGCCGGGGUUCGCCCACGUAACGUGCUUAGGAUGCUGGCGUAAUGGCUUUAAACG